UUGUAGGAAUUAGAAUGCCAUAAGCCUACUUUGUCAUCGCGGGCAGACUCGUCUCAUGCACCUUAGUGAUAACAUCUCUAUAUCACACAUUUUGCUUCUCAGAAAAAAGGAACGCCUUGCGGCAGUGGGAUCUUGGACCAUAUUAAAUAUAAUAUUUUGUAUGUAUAAUAAUUAUUAUAUACACUUUUUGCAUUUCUUUAGAGGGGUGGGACAUAGUAAUGAUUCAGAUGAAACAAAACUAAAUCAAAUUUGAUAUCAACUACCCUAUUUUACUUUAGAGGGAAGUUUGAUAUCUAAGCAGAGCAUCCCUUUCUUUCCACUUGAGUAAGAAAAAGACAGAGUUAAAGUUCAUUGAAAUGGAUUAUACAAUUAGUAUUAGUUGAUGUCAGUGUUAAACUUGAUUUAGUUUUUUUUUGACCGAAUCAGUGCCAAUUUUUGCGAAAUAAAUAUUUUAAUAUACUCAAAAGAGAAUAACCGAAAAUACAAACCAAUAUUUGGACGGUUUGCAUAUUUUCAAAAUUAAAAAAAAAAUAACGAGAUGAAGAAAAUUUUCGUUGAAAAACUAUAAAAAAAGUGUCUUAACAUUAAAGAGAAAAAAAAUACUUAAAUUAAUUUU
This is a long non-coding RNA of Maniola jurtina (meadow brown), 616 nucleotides long. RefSeq lists it as uncharacterized. The transcript is spliced from 3 exons. The record is from RefSeq and is a predicted model, not a curated record. Lineage: Eukaryota; Metazoa; Arthropoda; Insecta; Lepidoptera; Nymphalidae.